CUCUCUGACAAUGUUUAAAAAGAUCCUUAUAUUUUCCUCAUCCACAAUAUAUAUUUACAAUGUAUAUAUAAAAUUCUCUGUAAAUACUUUUAUAACCCACGAAGACGCGCGUAUUUUUUCUCUCGCAACAGCGCGGCAAAACUAAAACGUAAGCUUGAAAGCAACUAAAAAAAAUCGAAAAGUUUUAUCUCAAUCCUGGCAAGGCGCAUGAAUCUUUUUUAACAGUAUUUAGACUUACAAAUUUACUUAUGCACACGAUUAUUGAUUUUUUUCUUUUUUUUUGUUUACUGUAUUUUAUCUUGUGAAGUAUGUGGUAUUAAUUUAUAUAUACGUGGUGUUUUUCAGGCAAAUAUCCGUGCAAUUACUGUUCAAGCAAAUUCAAACGGAAGGGAAGUCUUGUCACGCAUCUGAAAUACGAAUGUGGCCAACCACCGCGAUUCAAAUGCCCGUAUUGCGACUUGAUAUCUAAAAAGACGUCGAAUAUACAGAAACACAUUCGCCGAAAACAUGACGGCUCUGUUGUUUAUGUCAUAGACAUUUGUCGAUUUCCAAAUACGCAAUAUGUAUAAAAGUUCAAAACUUGGGUGCUUUAGACGCGUCCCUCAGAUUGACACAGAGCGGCCUCUUCAAAUCCAAGGUAUGUUUGUACGGUUGUACGAAAUGCGACAGUGUUUACAACAGAAAGACAAAUCUGAUGAGGCACAUGAAGUUCGAAUGCGGUCAACCUCCUCGCUUCAAGUGCCCGUACUGCGAACUCGUCUCGAAGAAGACCUCGAACGUGCGGAUACACAUACGGAGGAAACAUCGGGGCAACGACGUUUACGUUCUGAAGAAUCCAAAAUUCGAAUAUAUAACGACGACGACAUUUUGAUGUUAGAUAUACGUAAUUUUAAAAUAUAAUAAAUUCAGAGCUUUUUUGUAAAAUAAAACUAAACCCCGAAUUAAAUGUCAAUGAAUUCACCGAAACCCUCCACUCGUCGAUCGUCCGAUCUUCGAUCAGAAACUAGCUACCGCCGCAUGCCUUAUGAAACUGUCUUUUAAUCUCGAACCGCCGAAUUUGUAGAAAUUUGAUUGCCAGUCGCAGACUUUUUUUUUAAUAAUUUUUCAAAUGUGCAUUUCUCGAGUGUGUGUGCGUGUGUUUUUUUAAAACGUGCGUUGAGUCUCUUUUGGGUCAUGGGACUUUGUUUGGAAGAGAAGUUGAGCUUUAUCUCGAUAUAUAUCACUCGAUACGUAGGUAAAAAUCGCGCGCAAAAAAAAAGGUGAGAGAGCGAGUGCGAUUGUUUCACGAAAAACUUGUGUUUUUCAGUUCACAGAUUCGAAGAGAAAACGAGCGCGAGCGGACGGAUUUUUCGCUGUCCAAAUUGCAGGAGCGUGUUCCGAAAGGCGCGGGGUCUGCGGGAACACUUGAACUAUUUGUGCGGCCAGGCGCCGAGAUUCCAGUGCCCUUACUGUAGUCACCGAUCGAAACUAAUGUCGAAUCUUUACAAACAUGUGCGCCGUAAACACCACGGCCAGCCGGUUUGGUGUAUCGACUUACUGAAGAUGUAGCAAAAUGUACACAAAACGCGCCUUUGGUUUUUCAUCAUUUCGCCAUUAAUGACAUUCUACUUUUGUUUGAACAUUAAUUUCACACUAAGUAACCGUGCGAAUGCAUGAAGCAAAAUACGUAACAAUACGUUUUGUCUAAUAAAAUAACAAUUUCUAACAAUCGCAAAAGGAGAUUCUUGGACGAAACGCUGUCUACAUUUGGAGCAGAUGUUUCUUUGCGUGUUCAACUUCACGUUAUACAUAUUAUAGAUAGAAACAAGUUGUCUAUUUUAUUAUGUUUUAACAUAAGUUUUUAAUAUACUUUUUUCGUGACUUUGUUUUUAUCGUGCGAGUACUGCGUAGCCGUUCGUGUUUUGCACUUCUUUUUUCUUCUUGCAGACACAAUUUUUCCCAUUGACUGUGGUUUCUUCGACAAGAUGGAGACGCCACCGAGGUCGCAACUUGAAACCAAAUUUCCUUGUCCGAACUGCACCAGCGUUUUCAACCGGAAGAACAACCUGCAAAAACAUCUCAAGUACGAGUGCGGCCAGUCGCCGAGAUUCAAGUGUCCUUAUUGCAACUACCGUUCGAAGAAGACCUCGAAUGUACGCGCGCACAUACGCGGGAUUCACAGCAGCAAUGACGUCUUUGUGAUCGAUGUGAAAAAAGAUCGAUGUGAAUCGAAUAAUGAUCGGCAGUUCGGAAAACUUUGAAUUGUCAAAAGUCAUUUAGAGACAAGAUUUGAAGGUCACAUUUAAGUUUAAUUAACGACAAUCAAAACAUACAAUUGUGCAUAAAGUUGGUGUUUUUAUAUAAGAAUGUAUUGCUCUUUUUUAUUAAAUAACUUUAUAAGAACAUAUAUAUAUAUAUAUAUACGUAUACGUAUAUACAUAUAUACGUAUGUAUAUAUACGUGAAUAAACUGCGAGUUUUUUACGUUUGCAUGAAUGAAUUUUGUUAUUUACUACAGCAAGGACACAUCCAUGAAUCCAACGUGACAAACCGAAGUCAACUCACACAACGAGAUAUUUUCGGGAUGACAGUAUCUCCCGAUAUCGUUACACAUUCUUGAUCUGUAUUUGUCUCUUUCCGUCUCUUCGCAGUAUCAAAUUAAAUGGACGCGACACCUUCCGACGAAGCUCUGACGUACGUCUUCUGAACGUUUUCUUGCAGAUCUGGUGGUCGGCUCCAAGAUGCUAUCCGAAGCGAAGUUUACUAACAUCGGGCGGUUUCCUUGCCCAAAGUGCUCGAGCAUCUUCAGCCGGAAGAACAAUCUCUACUCGCACGUCAAGUUCGAGUGCGGGCAGCUGCCGCGCUUCGGCUGUCCUUACUGCAACUACGCCUCGAAGAAAUCGUCCAACAUACGUGCUCACGUGCGCAGAAAGCACCUCGGCUGCGAAGUCCAUGUGAUACGCGUCUCACUAGCGAACGUCUUCUAAUCAUUUUUAUCGAACAAGCUUACUUAGCUUAACACACGAGGCUGGUGUGUUUAAAAUACUCUUGGGACAUUUCCGUGUACUUAGCACUAAGUCUACGUGCACGUGAGAAGCAGUUUUAUCAAACUGCUUCGUCUUUCUCUAGUGAUCAUUUCCGAAGUGAUUACUUCGCUUUGUUCUUGUCGCGCACAGAAAGUCAAUAUUAUAUUUAGUCAAUAUAUAAUACUAGCUUUGUUAUUUAGUUAGAGAAUAAAAUUGCAUAAAAACAUUCUUGCGAACAUGACUUGCGAACAUGACUUGCGAACAUGACUCUUGUUACUUUUCGGUAGUUCCUUGUUUAAGAUAACUCGCCUAACGGAAGAAAACGAUCGCAUGAGAUCCCCACGUCACCCAGAAUCACUGACGACUUGUUUUUAAGCACAGGAAGAUCGUUGGCACACUCCCUUCAUCAUUUACCGUAAAAUUGUCUGCAAUUCGAAGAAAGUUUAACACACACGCACAAUUUCCAUUAAAAACAAAAAUCACCUCUUUUUUCAACUCUUCAUCUUUUUUUUCUAUCCUAUCUAUCUGCAUCGGAUCACGUGUCGCGGUACAAUCGAAACUUUGACGGGAUCGACGCGCCUGUUUGUGUUGCAGACUGACACUGUAUGAUCGUCCCGUUGUCGUCCACAUUUACGCACACGCGGACGUACGAUUUUGACAUGUCGUUUCCUUCGGCGAUCGCGAUCGACGAUCAUCGACGAUGUUCGACGGGGCAGAAGCUGGCGAAGCCGUAUCCGUGCGACAAGUGCAGCAGCGAGUUCAAGCGGAAGGGCGGUCUUACGUAUCAUCAGAAGUACGAGUGCGGCCAGCCGCCCCGAUUCAAGUGCGCGUACUGUACGUAUGUCGCCCGUCACAUCUCGAACGCCCGCCGACACGUGCGCAAAUGCCAUCCAGGACAGGACAUGCAGAUCACCGAUUUGCAUCUGUCCAGUCAGACGCAGUAUCAGCAACCGCGGCGCAAUCUCUGAGGUCGCGCGUCGUCCGGCAAGACUGUCUCUCAUCCUGAAGAACGACGAUACGCGAAGACCAAAGAGAACAGCUUGCUGCACCGUGCGGUACACUCGAAACGUCGUACGAAGAUGAUCUGUCGUCAAAAAUCAACGUCGCAUCCGACAAGAACGGUAGAGAUCGAAGACUUUAAUCUCUUGUUCCUCAGUACAUUAAUCACGAGUGCGAAUUGUAUUACAUAGAUACGGGUAUUUUUCUCUUUUUUUCAGUGAUACGCACAGGACAUCUCGGGCUUUCGUCGCCUCUUGUUUCGCGAAUUCCCUCAGUUCGCUCGAAGAAAUAGACUACGAUAGAAGAUAGACGUUGGCUGUGCCGCGAAGACAGUGUCCGCUGAUACUUUUAAGAAAGACGUACCACGGAAAAUAGUGCCAAAACUAGUGUUUUACGGAUUGUUAUAUAUGAAUUUAGUCGUGAAUCAAAUUGCAAGAUUUACACAGACGCAAUUAGUUUUAAUGUGUAAAUCCAAGUGAAGAAAAAACGAACUAAAAAAGAAACUAGUGAAACGUGUUGGUGAAGCAAUUUUUCAAUAAUCAAACCACAUAUGUUGGUACGUUUUUGUUCUUUAAUUUUUUUAUCAUCGUCAGCUUUAACGAAAAGAAAUGAGAAUAUUUCCAAAUACAAAAAUUAUUGAUUUUGAAAACAGAUAGAACGUAUCUUAAUAUGUAAAUUCCACAAAAAAAUCAGAUGAAAUAUCAUACUUGCUUUUCGUUAAGAAAUAUAAUAAAUUAUUAUCUUCUGUGAUAAUUUAUAGUCUUUAUGAUUUAAGUAUAUGUUGUACAAUAAUUUUUUUUUAUUUUUUUUAAGAAAAAAUUUUGAAAAGCAUAAAUGUGAUUGAAGAGCAUAAUUGUGAUUGGUAAAAAGUAUUAUUUAUGACAAAUUUCUCAAAUUGCAUGGUAUCGAUGUAAUCACAGCGUUAUUACUUUGUUAUCUGUUACGUGUCACUCGUCUACAUUUAUCUUUUCGCUCAGGCACGAGCUGGACGCACAGUUGUAUCACUGUCCAGUUUCUGCCGCUCAACGUGCUUUAUACACCAUCGGCACGAUCGAUAUCUGCUAUUUUUUACUGUUACUGUAUAAUUUAGCGAAUAUAUAUUAGUAAACAAAAUCACAAAGAAAAGUAAAAAAUUGCUGCUUAUACCAAUGACAUGACGAUUCAGCAGCUCUCGAUGCAAGAUGAAAAUAAGAGCCACUAUAGUAGCAUUUUAUCUUGAACUAUCGCUUAGACUCUAAGCCUUAGAGAAAAGUCACUAUAGUGGCGCGCAGUAUUAAAUGAUUAAAUAAAGUUAUUGUCAUUGUUUCUAUAAAGUUACACAAAGAAUCGCGAUUACUCGGUAUUAUUGCGAAAUGCUGGCGAUAGUUUAUGCUUAAAUUAUAGUGAUUUGAUUUUAAGAAAUUAUUAUUUAGUGUUGUUAUAUUAAGUAGAAAUACCAUUUGUGCACAUUUCACAUUUGCUACCACAUUGGUGUGUUCUCUGUUGUGAUACAACAUCGCAAAUGUAUACAUAUGUAAAGUAAUAUUCGCUGAAAAAAAAAAAAAAAAAA
Molecule: long non-coding RNA, 5552 nt
Organism: Pseudomyrmex gracilis
Lineage: Eukaryota; Metazoa; Arthropoda; Insecta; Hymenoptera; Formicidae
Exons: 2
Source: RefSeq, a predicted model, not a curated record